AUAUUAUUUUGGAAUAAAGGUGCCUAUUUGGCUUAAAAGGGAAGCUGGUGAAAAUCCAGCGCGGCCCCGCCACUGUAACCGAGGACGAAAUCCACAGUAUGCCACUGGGAAGUAUUCCUGGGAAGGCGUGGAGAGUAGGAUGAUUCGGAAGCCAGGAGACCUGCCUUUAUUUCAAAACGUUU
RNAcentral lists this non-coding RNA (182 nucleotides) under Thermosipho africanus. Lineage: Bacteria; Thermotogati; Thermotogota; Thermotogae; Thermotogales; Fervidobacteriaceae. The record is from RNAcentral.